GAUGAGGUGGCUGAGCGUGGUAAAGCAACAGUUUGCUAAACUGUCGAGGUUACAGAUCUCGCACGGGUUCAAAUCCUGUUCUCAUCG
Molecule: transfer RNA, 87 nt
Filed under: Plenaster craigi
Lineage: Eukaryota; Metazoa; Porifera; Demospongiae; Axinellida; Stelligeridae
Description: tRNA-Ser
Rfam family: tRNA
About the family: Transfer RNA (tRNA) molecules are approximately 80 nucleotides in length. Their secondary structure includes four short double-helical elements and three loops (D, anti-codon, and T loops).
Source: RNAcentral